RNAcentral lists this ribosomal RNA (900 nucleotides) under Colletotrichum fioriniae. Its description in RNAcentral is "LSU rRNA". It matches the Rfam family "Eukaryotic large subunit ribosomal RNA", at positions 36 to 966 of the family's 3401-position model. Lineage: Eukaryota; Fungi; Ascomycota; Sordariomycetes; Glomerellales; Glomerellaceae. The record is from RNAcentral.
UAGCAUAUCAAUAAGCGGAGGAAAAGAAACCAACAGGGAUUGCCCCAGUAACGGCGAGUGAAGCGGCAACAGCUCAAAUUUGAAAUCUGGCCCCAGGCCCGAGUUGUAAUUUGCAGAGGAUGCUUUUGGCGCGGUGCCUUCCGAGUUCCCUGGAACGGGACGCCAUAGAGGGUGAGAGCCCCGUACGGUUGGACACCAAGCCUUUGUAAAGCUCCUUCGACGAGUCGAGUAGUUUGGGAAUGCUGCUCUAAAUGGGAGGUACAUUUCUUCUAAAGCUAAAUAUUGGCCAGAGACCGAUAGCGCACAAGUAGAGUGAUCGAAAGAUGAAAAGCACUUUGAAAAGAGGGUUAAACAGCACGUGAAAUUGUUAAAAGGGAAGCGCUUGUGACCAGACUUGCGUCCGGUGAAUCACCCAGCUCUCGCGGCUGGGGCACUUCGCCGGCACAGGCCAGCAUCAGCUUGCCGUCGGGGACAAAAGCUUCAGGAACGUAGCUCCUCUCGGGGAGUGUUAUAGCCUGUUGUAUAAUACCCUUCGGCGGGCUGAGGUACGCGCUCCGCAAGGAUGCUGGCGUAAUGGUCAUCAGCGACCCGUCUUGAAACACGGACCAAGGAGUCAACCUUAUGUGCGAGUGUUUGGGUGUUAAACCCCUACGCGUAAUGAAAGUGAACGCAGGUGAGAGCUUCGGCGCAUCAUCGACCGAUCCUGAUGUUCUCGGAUGGAUUUGAGUAAGAGCAUAUAGGGUUGGACCCGAAAGAAGGUGAACUAUGCGUGUGUAGGGUGAAGCCAGAGGAAACUCUGGUGGAGGCUCGCAGCGGUUCUGACGUGCAAAUCGAUCGUCAAACAUGCGCAUGGGGGGCGAAAGACUAAUCGAACCUUCUAGUAGCUGGUUUCCGCCGAAU